RNAcentral lists this transfer RNA (72 nucleotides) under Camelus bactrianus (Bactrian camel). It matches the Rfam family "tRNA". Rfam says of the family: Transfer RNA (tRNA) molecules are approximately 80 nucleotides in length. Their secondary structure includes four short double-helical elements and three loops (D, anti-codon, and T loops). RNAcentral also lists the same sequence under 2 other names. The record is from Rfam by way of RNAcentral. Lineage: Eukaryota; Metazoa; Chordata; Mammalia; Artiodactyla; Camelidae.
GGGUAUAUAGCUCAGUGGUAGAAUGCAUGCUUAGCAUGCAUGAGGUCCUGGGUUCACUCUCCAGUACCUUCA